CCUACGGGAGGCAGCAGUGAGGAAUAUUGGUCAAUGGCCGGAAGCCUGAACCAGCCAAGUCGCGUGAAGGAAGAAGGCCCUAGGGUUUGUAAACUUCUUUUAUAGGGGGAUAAAGGUCUCCACGUGUGGAUAUUUGCAUGUACCCUAUGAAUAAGCGUCGGCUAACUCCGUGCCAGCCGCCGCGGUAAUACGGAGGGUGCGGGCGUUAUCCGGAUUUAUUGGGUGUAAAGGGUGCGUAGGUUGGUUUUUAAGUCAGCGGUGAAAGUUUGUGGCUUAACCUUAAAAUGGCCUUUGAAACUGGAAGACUUGAGUGUGUUUGAGGGAGGUGGAAUGCGUGGUGUAGCGGUGAAAUGCAUAGAUAUCACGAAGAACACCGAUUGCGAAGGCAGCUUACUGGGC
RNAcentral lists this ribosomal RNA (399 nucleotides) under uncultured bacterium. RNAcentral describes it as "partial 16S ribosomal RNA". It matches the Rfam family "Bacterial small subunit ribosomal RNA", at positions 338 to 734 of the family's 1533-position model. The record is from RNAcentral.